GCGUCUUUGUUUUUGUAAUGAUGGGGGAACAAAAACCUGCUUGAACCAGGAAAUGCAUCCGGGGGUUCUACAUGGAGUGACAUGUCUGAAGGAGACGUGAUACGAUGGAGAAUCUCACCACACUGUUACCUCUACGUAUAACUUGCGAGCUUCUAAGGUCACUCAAGUUGAAUUGUCACAUAUUAUGUGACGUAGUCAUAAAUUGAAUGGCUACUUAUAGCUAGGAGCCACAUGAUGCAUGAACCAUGAACUGUGCCUGCUGUCUACUACGGUUCCAGAGUGUAUGGUUCCUGGCCCCCUCUGUCAGAGCAGCUGUCCAACAUGCCACCCUGUGUCAGACAGCCACAGAAUUUUCCCUAAUUACACUACACAACACCUGUGGCCAGGCACUGAGGCGUUUCCAUGACAGCCCUGGAUGUUAUAAGAGCCAGCUCGUACCCACAGACCUAAGAGGACGAGGAUAGAAUAAAUUACAAGUCACUGAUAACUCAUGAUGACCUGUUUGAGAGGGUGGCCAGGAAGGCCAAGACCAAAGCCACCUUCAACGGAGCGGUGGAUGUCUUCAGUAAGAGGGGAAUAUGGCGUCGAGGUCACGUAGAGUUCAUUUACGCAGCCUUGAAGAAGGUGCCAGAGUUCAUGUGGAACGGGACCUUACAGUUUACAACAAGCUGUUGGAUGUUUUCCCCAAGGAGGUGUUUGUGCCCAGGAACUUUAUCCAGUGCAUGUUCAACCACUACCCCUGACAGCAGGAGUGCGGGGUGCACCUGCUGGAACAGAUGGCGAACUAGUGGUGGCAAAGUUAACGUAGGGGCGUGCUAGUGGGCGUGGCCAAUUGUGUGGUCUCUGACCAGAUAUUUUAAUGACCCUCUUCUUGGCCACAGGCACAGUUUUGCUAUUUUAAAGCUAAUUUCCUGCAAUACUACACAUUUUGCCAUAGCUUAUGCUAUCGGAGUGACUCAAAUGUAACAAAAUCAAUGGGGGCCCAUGCCAUGACACUUGGAAUUUUAGAUUCUCUCUGACUCUAGUUUUUAGUGGUGAUUGUUAGUUGUCAAAUAUUAUCUUAUUUAAAAAAUAUAUAGGUCUGUUAUCUUUUCUACAUACUUUACAUCCAGUUCUGUCGUUUAUAUUUAUACUGACAACAUUUUACCAAACCCCACAUUUGUAUUGUUUGUUUUUUGAAAUUAUUUUUCGUGGCGGCAACAAUUUAGCAGCGGUUGCCCGCCCCUGCUGAAUAUAGGGGUAACACUGGUGUGUGUGAGAGAGAGAGAGAGAGAUUUGGCCCACUGUUUUCAGAACAGUGGCUCUCAAACCAUUAAAAUAUGAAGCGAGAUAUUUCAUUGUCAGACCCUUGUUUUGUCAUUCAUUCAUGUUCUGUAUAAUCAGGUAUCAUGUUCUGUAUAAUCACGUAUCAUGUUCUGUAUAAUCAGGUAUCAUGUUCUGUAUAAUCAGGUAUCAUGUUCUGUAUAAUCAGGUAUCAUGUUCUGUAUAAUCAGGUAUCAAGUUCUGUAUAAUCAGGUAUCAUGUUCUGUAUAAUCAGGUAUCAUGUUCUGUAUAAUCAGGUAUCAUGUUCUGUAUAAUCAGGUAUCAUGUUCUGUAUAAUCAGGUAUCAUGUUCUGUAUAAUCAGGUAUCAUGUUCUGUAUAAUCAGGUAUCAUGUUCUGUAUAAUCAGGUAUCAAGUUCUGUAUAAUCAGGUAUCAUGUUCUGUAUAAUCCGGUAUCAUGUUCUGUAUAAUCCGGUAUCAUGUUCUGUAUAAUCAGGUAUCAUGUCAAAUGUCCAGACUUAAGGUCCAGAUCUUCAGGGACAAGAUUCACCCUAUGAGGAAGUACCAGCGCAUCUUCUGAUGGUUCCCCAAGUUCAAGCACGCCAACCCCUUCCCCGUCCCCCUGCAGCUCCCUGCAGCUCCCCAUUGGCUAGGUGCAACUCCAGAUGAUGCACUGCAAACAUAUGGUUCUCAAUGUUGUUACCAGUCAAAAGCUUGGACACACCUACUCAUUCCAGGGUUUUCUUUAUUUUUCAUAUUUUCUACAUUUUAGAAUAAUAGUGAA
Non-coding RNA from Oncorhynchus mykiss (rainbow trout), 2045 nucleotides. The record is from RefSeq and is a predicted model, not a curated record. NCBI's taxonomy places the organism in Eukaryota, Metazoa, Chordata, Actinopteri, Salmoniformes, Salmonidae.